This 450-nucleotide ribosomal RNA is filed under the name uncultured bacterium. Its description in RNAcentral is "partial 16S ribosomal RNA". It matches the Rfam family "Bacterial small subunit ribosomal RNA", at positions 354 to 796 of the family's 1533-position model. The record is from RNAcentral.
GUAGGGAAUCUUCGGCAAUGGACGAAAGUCUGACCGAGCAACGCCGCGUGAGUGAAGAAGGUUUUCGGAUCGUAAAACUCUGUUGUUAGAGAAGAACGUUGAUUAGAGUGGAAAAUUAAUCAAGUGACGGUAUCUAACCAGAAAGGGACGGCUAACUACGUGCCAGCAGCCGCGGUAAUACGUAGGUCCCGAGCGUUGUCCGGAUUUAUUGGGCGUAAAGCGAGCGCAGGUGGUUUAAUAAGUCUGAUGUAAAAGGCAGUGGCUCAACCAUUGUGUGCAUUGGAAACUGUUAGACUUGAGUGCAGUAGAGGAGAGUGGAAUUCCAUGUGUAGCGGUGAAAUGCGUAGAUAUAUGGAGGAACACCGGUGGCGAAAGCGGCUCUCUGGACUGUCACUGACACUGAGGCUCGAAAGCGUGGGUAGCAAACAGGAUUAGAAACCCUGGUAGUCC